GAUGAACGCUGGCGGCGUGCUUAACACAUGCAAGUCGAACGAAGCACCUCUCCCGAAGAUUGACACAGCUUGCUGUAGAUUGAUUCAUUUGAGGUGACUGAGUGGCGGACGGGUGAGUAACGCGUGGGUAACCUGCCUCAUAGAGGGGGACAACAUUUGGAAACGACUGCUAAUACCGCAUAGUAAGAAGAAUUCGCAUGUUUUCUUCUUGAAAGAUUUAUCGCUAUGAGAUGGACCCGCGUCUGAUUAGCUAGUUGGUAAGGUAACGGCUUACCAAGGCGACGAUCAGUAGCCGGCUUGAGAGAGUGAACGGCCACAUUGGGACUGAGACACGGCCCAAACUCCUACGGGAGGCAGCAGUGGGGAAUAUUGCACAAUGGGGGAAACCCUGAUGCAGCGACGCCGCGUGAGUGAAGAAGUAUUUCGGUAUGUAAAGCUCUAUCAGCAGGGAAGAUAAUGACGGUACCUGACGAAGAAGCCCCGGCUAACUACGUG
This 495-nucleotide ribosomal RNA is filed under the name uncultured bacterium. RNAcentral describes it as "partial 16S ribosomal RNA". It matches the Rfam family "Bacterial small subunit ribosomal RNA", at positions 28 to 507 of the family's 1533-position model. The record is from RNAcentral.